This 301-nucleotide ribosomal RNA is filed under the name uncultured bacterium. RNAcentral's name for it is "partial 16S ribosomal RNA". It matches the Rfam family "Bacterial small subunit ribosomal RNA", at positions 509 to 807 of the family's 1533-position model. The record is from RNAcentral.
CAGCAGCCGCGGGAAUACGAAGGGGGCUAGCGUUGCUCGGAAUGACUGGGCGUAAAGGGCGCGUAGGCGGAUUGUUUAGUUAGGCGUGAAAUUCCUGGGCUUAACCUGGGGACUGCGCUUAAUACAGGCAGUCUAGAGUGAGGAAGAGGGUUGUGGAAUUCCCAGUGUAGAGGUGAAAUUCGUAGAUAUUGGGAAGAACACCGGUGGCGAAGGCGGCGACCUGGUCCUUUACUGACGCUGAGGCGCGAAAGCGUGGGGAGCAAACAGGAUUAGAGACCCGUGUAGUCCCUGUCUCUUAUAC